RNAcentral lists this ribosomal RNA (603 nucleotides) under uncultured bacterium. Its description in RNAcentral is "bacterial SSU rRNA". It matches the Rfam family "Bacterial small subunit ribosomal RNA", at positions 338 to 944 of the family's 1533-position model. The record is from RNAcentral.
CCUACGGGAGGCAGCAGUGAGGAAUAUUGGACAAUGGGCGCAAGCCUGAUCCAGCCAUGCCGCGUGCAGGAAGAAGCAUCUAUGGUGUGUAAACUGCUUUUGUACGGGAAGAAACACUCCGACGUGUCGGAGCUUGACGGUACCGUAAGAAUAAGGAUCGGCUAACUCCGUGCCAGCAGCCGCGGUAAUACGGAGGAUCCAAGCGUUAUCCGGAAUCAUUGGGUUUAAAGGGUCCGUAGGCGGUUUAAUAAGUCAGUGGUGAAAGCCCAUCGCUUAACGAUGGAACGGCCAUUGAUACUGUUAGACUUGAAUUAUUGGGAAGUAACUAGAAUAUGUAGUGUAGCGGUGAAAUGCUUAGAUAUUACAUGGAAUACCAAUUGCGAAGGCAGGUUACUAUCAAUAUAUUGACGCUGAUGGACGAAAGCGUGGGGAGCGAACAGGAUUAGAUACCCUGGUAGUCCACGCCGUAAACGAUGGAUACUAGCUGUUCGGAGCAAUCUGAGUGGCUAAGCGAAAGUGAUAAGUAUCCCACUGGGGAUCGUUCGCAAGAUGAAACNCAAAGGAUUGACGGCUGAGAGAGCGACGACGACACGAGGGAGGAGG